GGAGGAUUGGCCGAGUGGUAAGGCACCGGCUUGCGCAGUGUUCGAUCAGAAGCAAGUCGUGGUCGGGGUUAUCCCCCGCGCGCGUUCGACCCGCGCAUCCUCCG
RNAcentral lists this transfer RNA (104 nucleotides) under Streptomyces yaanensis. Its description in RNAcentral is "tRNA-OTHER". It matches the Rfam family "tRNA". Rfam says of the family: Transfer RNA (tRNA) molecules are approximately 80 nucleotides in length. Their secondary structure includes four short double-helical elements and three loops (D, anti-codon, and T loops). Lineage: Bacteria; Bacillati; Actinomycetota; Actinomycetes; Kitasatosporales; Streptomycetaceae. The record is from RNAcentral.